RNAcentral lists this ribosomal RNA (401 nucleotides) under uncultured bacterium. Its description in RNAcentral is "bacterial SSU rRNA". It matches the Rfam family "Bacterial small subunit ribosomal RNA", at positions 335 to 730 of the family's 1533-position model. The record is from RNAcentral.
ACUCCUACGGGAGGCAGCAGUGGGGAAUAUUGCACAAUGGGCGAAAGCCUGAUGCAGCAAUGCCGCGUGUGUGAAGAAGGCCUGCGGGUUGUAAAGCACUUUUAUCGGGAAAGAAAAACCAGGGCUAAUACCCUUGGUCUUGACGGUACCCGUUGAAUAAGCACCGGCUAACUCCGUGCCAGCAGCCGCGGUAAUACGGAGGGUGCAAGCGUUAAUCGGAAUUACUGGGCGUAAAGCGCAUGCAGGCGGCCUGUUAAGUCAGAUGUGAAAGCCCGGGGCUUAACCUCGGAAUUGCAUUUGAAACUGGUAGGCUAGAGUCUUGUAGAGGGGGGUAGAAUUUCAGGUGUAGCGGUGAAAUGCGUAGAGAUCUGAAGGAAUACCAGUGGCGAAGGCGGCCCCCU